RNAcentral lists this ribosomal RNA (404 nucleotides) under Actinomycetes bacterium. Its description in RNAcentral is "Actinobacteria bacterium partial 16S ribosomal RNA". It matches the Rfam family "Bacterial small subunit ribosomal RNA", at positions 355 to 776 of the family's 1533-position model. The record is from RNAcentral. Lineage: Bacteria; Bacillati; Actinomycetota; Actinomycetes.
UGGGGAAUAUUGGACAAUGGGCGCAAGCCUGAUCCAGCCAUGCCGCGUGAGUGAUAAAGGCCCUAGGGUUGUAAAGCUCUUUCACCGGUGAAGAUAAUGACGGUAACCGGAGAAGAAGCCCCGGCUAACUUCGUGCCAGCAGCCGCGGUAAUACGAAGGGGGCUAGCGUUGUUCGGAUUUACUGGGCGUAAAGCGCACGUAGGCGGACUAUUAAGUCAGGGGUGAAAUCCCGGGGCUCAACCCCGGAACUGCCUUUGAUACUGGUAGUCUUGAGUUCGAGAGAGGUGAGUGGAAUUCCGAGUGUAGAGGUGAAAUUCGUAGAUAUUCGGAGGAACACCAGUGGCGAAGGCGGCUCACUGGCUCGAUACUGACGCUGAGGUGCGAAAGCGUGGGGAGCAAACAGG